ACAACGGCUCUUUUAAGAGCCACCUACUUCUUAAAACUUUGCAAG
This 45-nucleotide non-coding RNA is filed under the name Xyrichtys novacula (pearly razorfish). It matches the Rfam family "Histone 3' UTR stem-loop". Rfam says of the family: The mRNAs of metazoan histone genes lack a poly-A tail. 3' end processing occurs at a site between a highly conserved stem-loop (modelled by this family) and a purine rich region around 20 nts downstream (the histone downstream element, or HDE). The record is from RNAcentral. Lineage: Eukaryota; Metazoa; Chordata; Actinopteri; Labriformes; Labridae.